This is a non-coding RNA of Vicia faba (fava bean), 261 nucleotides long. NCBI's taxonomy places the organism in Eukaryota, Viridiplantae, Streptophyta, Magnoliopsida, Fabales, Fabaceae. The record is from the annotation of a GenBank genome assembly.
AUGACUUCUAGAAUCCCACGAUUCAUCUCUCUCUCAAACGCGAACGGCGGCGAAGCUUCAAUCUGUCUUCCUUACACCGCCUCACUUCUUCUUUUCAUUUUAACAUCUUCUGCUCUUUGUCAUUGCAAAGGGAUACGAUGCAUGCCGCUUAUGGUCGUCUCUGCUCAAGCUUCGAUCGCCAACUCCUCUUGUUCUGCAAUGGUGCAGCUUCAUUUUCAUACUUCAAAGAACAAUAAACAAGAAUCACGCGCAAUAAUAUAG